ACUCCUACGGGAGGCAGCAGUGGGGAAUAUUGCACAAUGGGCGCAAGCCUGAUGCAGCAACGCCGCGUGAGGGACGACGGCCUUCGGGUUGUAAACCUCUUUUAGUAGGGAAGAAGCGAAAGUGACGGUACCUGCAGAAAAAGCACCGGCUAACUACGUGCCAGCAGCCGCGGUAAUACGUAGGGUGCAAGCGUUAUCCGGAAUUAUUGGGCGUAAAGAGCUCGUAGGCGGUUUGUCGCGUCUGCUGUGAAAACUGGAGGCUCAACCUCCAGCCUGCAGUGGGUACGGGCAGACUAGAGUGCGGUAGGGGAGAUUGGAAUUCCUGGUGUAGCGGUGGAAUGCGCAGAUAUCAGGAGGAACACCGAUGGCGAAGGCAGAUCUCUGGGCCGUAACUGACGCUGAGGAGCGAAAGCAUGGGGAGCGAACAGGAUUAGAUACCCUGGUAGUCCAUGCCGUAAACGUUGGGAACUAGAUGUAGGGACCAUUCCACGGUUUCUGUGUCGCAGCUAACGCAUUAAGUUCCCCGCCUGGGGAGUACGGCCGCAAGGCUAAAACUCAAAGGAAUUGACGGGGGCCCGCACAAGCGGCGGAGCAUGCGGAUUAAUUCGAUGCAACGCGAAGAACCUUACCAAGGCUUGACAUAUACCGGAAAAGUGCAAAAAUGUACUCCCCGCAAGGUCSGUAUACAGGUGGUGCAUGGUUGUCGUCAGCUCGUGUCGUGAGAUGUUGGGUUAAGUCCCGCAACGAGCGCAACCCUCGUUCUAUGUUGCCAGCACGUAAUGGUGGGAACUCAUAGGAGACUGCCGGGGUCAACUCGGA
RNAcentral lists this ribosomal RNA (819 nucleotides) under uncultured Actinomycetes bacterium. Its description in RNAcentral is "bacterial SSU rRNA". It matches the Rfam family "Bacterial small subunit ribosomal RNA", at positions 335 to 1167 of the family's 1533-position model. The record is from RNAcentral. Lineage: Bacteria; Bacillati; Actinomycetota; Actinomycetes.